Molecule: ribosomal RNA, 254 nt
Filed under: uncultured bacterium
Lineage: Bacteria
Description: partial 16S ribosomal RNA
Rfam family: Bacterial small subunit ribosomal RNA
Source: RNAcentral
UACAGAGGUCCCGAGCGUUGUUCGGAUUCAUUGGGCGUAAAGGGUGCGUAGGUGGCGCCGUAAGUCGGGUGUGAAAAUUUCGGAGCUUAACUCCGAAACUGCAUUCGAUACUGCGGUGCUUGAGGACUGGAGAGGAGACUGGAAUUCAUGGUGUAGCAGUGAAAUGCGUAGAGAUCAUGAGGAAGACCAGUGGCGAAGGCGGGUCUCUGGACAGUUCCUGACACUGAGGCACGAAGGCCAGGGGAGCAAACGGG